UGCAAAAACAUGGGUGGAGUGUUUUUAGUCAUUGUGAUUCAUUUACUAUUACCUGUCUAUAUUAUAUAAUAAUACUGUAUUAUAUACUUAAACUUGUUAGUGUAUAAAAGUAACAUACUGUAACAUUAUGUGGGUUCUGGUGGGUGGAGGAUUAGUGGUGCCACUGAAGUGUUCUGUGAUGGAGCAUCAGUGAUGAUGCAGACCCAGGUAACUGGCUGAUGGUUCACAGGAAUGCUGACUGGCUGCUGAUUGACUUGCUGCUGGUUGUCUGGGCAGUGUCACCUGUCCCUGUCUCUCCUCUCUAGCCAUGUCCUUUUUCUUCACUCUCACUUUCCCUUCUCUGAGUGUCCUCGUUCUUUUUUCCUCAACCUUUGAAACUGAUAGAGGUCUAGGGGUGCAUCGUGG
This is a long non-coding RNA of Carassius auratus (goldfish), 405 nucleotides long. RefSeq lists it as uncharacterized. Lineage: Eukaryota; Metazoa; Chordata; Actinopteri; Cypriniformes; Cyprinidae. The record is from RefSeq and is a predicted model, not a curated record. The transcript is spliced from 3 exons.